RNAcentral lists this ribosomal RNA (553 nucleotides) under fungal endophyte sp. P810A. RNAcentral's name for it is "eukaryotic LSU rRNA". The stretch from base 194 to 347 matches the Rfam family "5.8S ribosomal RNA". The record is from RNAcentral. Lineage: Eukaryota; Fungi.
CCUGCGGAGGGAUCAUUGCUGGAACGCGCCCCGGCGCACCCAGAAACCCUUUGUGAACGUAUACCUUUGUUGCCUCGGCGCAGGCCGGCCCCCCCGGGGGCCCCUCGGAGACGAGGAGAAGGCUCGCCGGCGGCCAAGUUAACUCUUGUUUUUACACUGCAACUCUGAGUAAAAAAAAACACAAAUGAAUCAAAACUUUCAACAACGGAUCUCUUGGUUCUGGCAUCGAUGAAGAACGCAGCGAAAUGCGAUAAGUAAUGUGAAUUGCAGAAUUCAGUGAAUCAUCGAAUCUUUGAACGCACAUUGCGCCCUCUGGUAUUCCGGAGGGCAUGCCUGUUCGAGCGUCAUUUCAACCCUCAAGCCCUGCUUGGUGUUGGGGCGCUGCCUCGAGAGGGGCAGGCCCUGAAAUCUAGUGGCGGGCCCGCCUGGACCCCGAGCGUAGUAGUUAAACCCUCGCUCUGGAAGGCCCUGGCGGGUGCCCUGCCGUUAAACCCCCAACCCCUUGAAAUUUUGACCUCGGAUCAGGUAGGAAUACCCGCUGAACUUAAGCAUA